CAGUAGCCACGGUAAUACCAGCAGCCCAAGUGGUGGUCGCGUUUAUUGGGCCUAAAGCGCUCGUAGCCUGACCGGUAAGUUCCCCGUGAAAUCGGGUCGCCCAACGAUUCGGCUUGCGGGGAAUACUGUCGGUCUUGGGGCCGGGAGACGCCGAGGGUACUCCGGGGGUAGCGGUGAAAUGCUGUAAUCCUCGGGGGACUACCAGUGGCGAAGGCGCUCGGCGAUAACGGGCCUGACGGUGAGGGGCGAAAGCUGGGGGCGCGAACGGGAUUAGAUACCCCCGUAGUCCCUGUCUCUUAUA
Molecule: ribosomal RNA, 301 nt
Filed under: uncultured bacterium
Lineage: Bacteria
Description: partial 16S ribosomal RNA
Rfam family: Archaeal small subunit ribosomal RNA
Source: RNAcentral